GAGGGAGUAUUUUAGUUUUUUAUUGAGUAUUUUAACCUUUAUUUUAGGUUUUUCUAGAGGAUUUACAUUAAAUUACUCAUGAAUUUUUGGGAAGAAGUUUGUAAUGUUUUAUUAUAGUCAUUAUUUGUCUUACAAUUCCCUAACUAGACAACUCUAUAGUGUGGCAUAGUCUUUUCGUAUAGGUUAGUGUGGGUUGAUCUGAUCAGAAGACACCUCGUAGAAGUUAUAAAAGCAUGAAAAGCAAGAACAUUGAAGAUAUUGAAUUGUACAUAACUUGGGAAAAUUAUAUCUCAAGUCCCAAGCACAUAUCAAAAGUAAAAAGAUCAUGAUAUUGAAUUGUCAUACGCGUGCGAGUGAGAAAUUUUGCCUAUAAUUACGAAUUUUCACCCAGAAAGAAUGAUUCUUAAUCUUAACGGCUCAAAGGAAUAUAUGUAUGAUCCAAGCAGACCAAACAUGGUAAUUUUUAGCCUUGGGCACAAGAUUGAUUCUCUUCACUUUGUGUAUGUUUAAUUUCGAGUACUUUUUAUGAUGAAUUAUUUUACCAUGAGUGAUUGAAAUUUCUAGAUUAUCGUUAAAUGGUGAAUCUCUAUUGAAUUGUUUGAACCAAAUAAUCUAAGAAGUCCUCUUUCAACACAAUUUGAAUUAUGUUUAUUUAAUAGAUCUUGUUAGUAAUGCUUUUCAAUUUCUAAUCAACUUUGAAUUUUAAAUAAGUGCUUCUUGGGAGGUGAUGACACCUCGUUAUAUGAUGUUUUAGCUAGGUUUUUUUUAAGUAAUUUUAAUAAGCAUUUGGAAAAAAAUUAAAAGGAGUUUUAGAUGAGUUUCUCAUGGUUUAAGAGAUAUUUUGUAUUAUUUUGAUUUUAGUCCUUGUAAUUCUAUUUCAUCCCCUAAUUAGGCACACUUCAUAUAUAUUUUGAGUCUGUCUAUUGAUAAAUUAUAUAAAUCAACAAAGCAAAACAUCUAAUGGAAGUUAUGGAAGGUAAAGAGUGAAGAUCGACGAAGGUAUUGGAAGAUUUUGAGGGCAAUACAAAUUGGGAAAAUUUUAUCCUAUGUUCCAAGACUUGUCAAGGAAGGAGAAACACUUGAAGAAUGGAGGAAAAACAACAAAUUUUGCCAUGCUGAAGUCCAAAGCUCCCCCAGUGCAUGACACCUGCAGAAGGACAGUUGACCACCAUCCAAAGCACUUCAGGUGCAAACCCAACUGAGAAAAUGCAUAUUUAAAGAUAUUUGUGCACAUAUAAAUUUUCGUUCAUAACUUGAUGGUUUAAGGCGAAGGCAAGCUACGACAUCAAAGAGGAAUCACACGUCCUCCAACUUGUUCUUAUAGUAUGUUUUGUUUUUCUUUGGUUAUGUAUUUUGUUACCAUGAGUAGUUAACUACCUUUUGAUCAGGGUUCUAAGACGAAUCUCUAUAUUUAUGUUAUAUUUAAUUUUCAUAUGUUUUACGCUUAAUACUUUGACAAACUAGGAAGUGAUGCCCCUAAAAUUUGCAAUGAUCUUAGGUUAGGGUUCAUUAGAUUGGAGUUUUGCUUUGACCAUUGUUAUUACAUAUAAAUUUUGCUCA
This 1560-nucleotide long non-coding RNA is filed under the name Medicago truncatula (barrel medic). RNAcentral describes it as "long non-coding RNA (MTRU_LNC000716)". Lineage: Eukaryota; Viridiplantae; Streptophyta; Magnoliopsida; Fabales; Fabaceae. The record is from RNAcentral.